Molecule: unclassified non-coding RNA, 201 nt
Filed under: Hevea brasiliensis (rubber tree)
Lineage: Eukaryota; Viridiplantae; Streptophyta; Magnoliopsida; Malpighiales; Euphorbiaceae
Source: RNAcentral
ACCAAAGCGAAUCUGGGAAUGCAGAAUGGCAAAUACUACACCAUAAAGGAACAAAAAUGUGGGCAUUGUAGUCUUGUAAUGCCAAUCUGGUGAAUAUAUGAUAUAAAUGUAGAGAAGCAUUUCCCAGACCAUGGGCGUCUCAUCACAUUGUUGUUGCAUCUGCCCCAACGUGGCAUGAUAUAUCAUGCUACGUUGGGGCAG